UACGUAGGGGGCAAGCGUUGUCCGGAUUUAUUGGGCGUAAAGAGCGUGUAGGCGGCCAGGUAGGUCCGCUGUGAAAACUCGAGGCUCAACCUCGAGAUGUCGGCGGAAACCAUCUGGCUAGAGUCCGGAAGAGGAGAGUGGAAUUCCUGGUGUAGCGGUGAAAUGCGCAGAUAUCAGGAAGAACACACGUGGCGAAGGCGGCUCUCUGGGACGGUACUGACGCUGAGACGCGAAAGCGUGGGGAGCGAACAGG
This 253-nucleotide ribosomal RNA is filed under the name uncultured bacterium. RNAcentral's name for it is "partial 16S ribosomal RNA". It matches the Rfam family "Bacterial small subunit ribosomal RNA", at positions 524 to 776 of the family's 1533-position model. The record is from RNAcentral.